CUCUGAGACACCAGCAAAACCCUCAGCUCAUGAUGCUUGGUGGACCAUCUAGGAAACAUCUCCUUUUUCCAAUUCUGUCACUUGAGGUGCAUGCUGCUUUCUUCCACUUAUUGGGAUAUGGCUUCAGCAGAUAAAUGCCUUUGAAUCAUCUUGUCACCAUAGUUGUAAUGAAUAUCAUCAGUAAUGAUUUCUGGUCCAGCUACUACGCUCAGCCCAAAAUGCUUUCCGUAAAUCAAGAGAAGUAUAUUCAUGAACAGGAAAGAGCAAACAAGCUCAGUAGGAAAACAGGAAAAGAAAUCCGAGUUCUUGGUUUGACUAUCACCCCUGGUGGUGCUUGGGGAUAACCCCUGGGUAUGUAACCAUGCAGUGCCCAGAUUGGGACCAGGCAAUGCUGGGGUGAUUGAACCUGGAGCUCCUGAUAAUUACAAUUCUUAAAAGUACUGAAGUUUACAGAAGUAAAAGAUUCAGUGAUCUUAAGAAAUCACCUGAGGUUAAAACCAGCCCUUACCUGAGGAGAGGUGAUCACUCUACCAUGGAAAAAUCUGAGUUAACAAGCAAGAGUGAGGGAGAAGAAUAGCUCACACCAAUGACCCUGAUAUACCCAAUGAAGAUCAAGGAGAAGAAAUCCAGCAGCCAUAAGAGGCAA
Long non-coding RNA from Sorex araneus (European shrew), 646 nucleotides. RefSeq lists it as uncharacterized. Lineage: Eukaryota; Metazoa; Chordata; Mammalia; Eulipotyphla; Soricidae. The transcript is spliced from 5 exons. The record is from RefSeq and is a predicted model, not a curated record.